RNAcentral lists this long non-coding RNA (435 nucleotides) under Manihot esculenta (cassava). RNAcentral's name for it is "long non-coding RNA (MESC_LNC002473)". The record is from RNAcentral. Lineage: Eukaryota; Viridiplantae; Streptophyta; Magnoliopsida; Malpighiales; Euphorbiaceae.
CCUGUUCGUCAAGGAACAUUUUCAUCAUUCGUUCAAGCUGUUGUUGAGUUUGAUCCCCCAUAACAGCUGGCUCUGAUACCAAAUUGAUACAGGCCCCUGUUUGUGAUCUAGUUAGGGGUCUUUGGAAAAGUGAGUCAGGUUUGGAAGAAGAAGAAGGGUGGUUCUUUCUUCUGCCUAUGUUUGCAGACUUAGAGAGGAUCUGAAAUCUCUUGAGUGUAAAGUACUCAAAAACUAGAGAAUUAAUUUCCCCAUUUUAUUGAAAAGAAGGAGUAUAUAUACAAUUGAGUUUUAACUGUAACUCCUAAAAAUACUGAAGCAACAAAUAUGAAAAUAUUCUCAAACAACAAAAAUAGAAUCACAAAUAAAAUAAAAAGAUUCCAUAAAAUCAGUAGCUAAUAAUUGACCAACAGACUUAGUCAACCAGCAUUUUCUUCU